Molecule: ribosomal RNA, 480 nt
Filed under: uncultured bacterium
Lineage: Bacteria
Description: partial 16S ribosomal RNA
Rfam family: Bacterial small subunit ribosomal RNA
Source: RNAcentral
GACGAACGCUGGCGGCGUGCUUAACACAUGCAAGUCGAACGAUGAGCCUCGAAAUGAUUUCUUCGGAAAGAUUUUUGAGAGGAUUAGUGGCGAACGGGUGAGUAACGCGUGAGCAACCUGCCUUAGACAAGGGGAUAGCCUCGGGAAACCGUGAUUAAUACCCUAUGAGACUCCACUUACGAGUGUAAGAGAAGUUAAAGCUAUUGCGGUCUAAGAUGGGCUCGCGUCUGAUUAGCUAGUUGGUGAGAUAAAAGCCCACCAAGGCGACGAUCAGUAACCGGCUUGAGAGAGUGAACGGUCACAUUGGAACUGAGACACGGUCCAAACUCCUACGGGAGGCAGCAGUGGGGAAUAUUGCACAAUGGGGGCAACCCUGAUGCAGCGACGCCGCGUGAGCGAUGAAGGAAUUCGUUUCGUAAAGCUCUGUCCUUGGAGAAGAUAAUGACGGUAACCAAGGAGGAAGCACCGGCUAAAUACGUG